AGCAGCCGCGGUAAUUCCAGCUCCAAUAGCGUAUAUUAAAGUUGUUGCAGUUAAAAAGCUCGUAGUUGAAUUUCGGGAUCAAAUUGUCGGUCGUGCCUCGGUACGCACUGGUAUUAUUGGUUCCUACCUUCUGAAGAACCGCGAUGUCAUUAAUUUGGUGUCGUGGGGAAUCAGGACUGUUACUUUGAAAAAAUUAGAGUGUUUAAAGCAGGCUUACGCUUGAAUACAUUAGCAUGGAAUAAUGAAAUAGGACGUUUGAUUCUAUUUUGUUGGUUUCUAGGAUUGACGUAAUGAUUAAUAGGGAUAGUUGGGGGCAUUAGUAUUCAAUUGUCAGAGGUGAAAUUCUUGGAUUUAUUGAAGACUAACUACUGCGAAAGCAUUUGCCAAGGAUGUUUUCAUUAGUCAAGAACGAAAGUUAGGGGAUCGAAGACGAUCAGAUACCGUCGUAGUCUUAACCAUAAACUAUGCCGACUAGGGAUCGGAUGAUGUUAAUUUUUUAAUGACUCA
Molecule: ribosomal RNA, 507 nt
Filed under: uncultured Glomus
Lineage: Eukaryota; Fungi; Glomeromycota; Glomeromycetes; Glomerales; Glomeraceae
Description: SSU rRNA
Rfam family: Eukaryotic small subunit ribosomal RNA
Source: RNAcentral